CGGGUUCUUGAUCAGGCGGAUGAUCCAUCGCUGCCGCUGCUGGAACGGGCGAAGUUUUUAGCGAUCACCAGUUCGAAUUUGGAUGAAUUCGU
This 92-nucleotide transfer RNA is filed under the name Rubripirellula lacrimiformis. Its description in RNAcentral is "Planctomycetes bacterium K22_7 tRNA-Gly". The record is from RNAcentral. Lineage: Bacteria; Pseudomonadati; Planctomycetota; Planctomycetia; Pirellulales; Pirellulaceae.